Molecule: unclassified non-coding RNA, 375 nt
Filed under: Athalia rosae (coleseed sawfly)
Lineage: Eukaryota; Metazoa; Arthropoda; Insecta; Hymenoptera; Athaliidae
Description: misc RNA ENSAEAG00005011680.1
Source: RNAcentral
UUGAUCAAGGCAGAACAGAGUUUCGCUAAGCGGUAGGGUGGCGCUGGCGUUGUUCGGCUGUCCAAUAUGGCCGGGGGUAUCUGCGUCAUGGAGUGAUUCUUAUCCCGUGAAAGUGUAAAUCAGUGCGAUAAUCACACGCUAUGCCGAUAAUCAAGAGGUUAAUAAAUAGCGAAAUGUAAUUUGAAGAAUAAGACUCGGAAAGAACGGAAAAUACCUCACCGUUGUCAUCAAUUACGAGAACGAGUACCGUACGACGUAGACACCAAUUUCUUUUCCUGGGGGGGUUUUCGACUCGUCAUUUGAUGACCGUGAAAUAAAUACGGAGAUUCAUCGUCGUCGAGUCAUUAAUUCACUGCAAGCUUUUAUGCAUCGUCA